AGUGAACGCUGGCGGCAGGCCUAACACAUGCAAGUCGAACGGCAGCACAGGGGAGCUUGCUCCCUGGGUGGCGAGUGGCGGACGGGUGAGGAAUACAUCGGAAUCUGCCUAUCUGUGGGGGAUAACCUCGGGAAACCGGGACUAAUACCGCAUACGACCUACGGGUGAAAGCCGGGGACCUUCGGGCCUGGCGCGGAUGGAUGAGCCGAUGUCGGAUUAGCUAGUUGGAGGGGUAAUGGCCCACCAAGGCGACGAUCCGUAGCUGGUCUGAGAGGAUGAUCAGCCACACUGGAACUGAGACACGGUCCAG
RNAcentral lists this ribosomal RNA (310 nucleotides) under uncultured bacterium. RNAcentral's name for it is "bacterial SSU rRNA". It matches the Rfam family "Bacterial small subunit ribosomal RNA", at positions 29 to 334 of the family's 1533-position model. The record is from RNAcentral.